UACGUAGGGGGCAAGCGUUGUCCGGAUUUAUUGGGCGUAAAGAGCGUGUAGGCGGCUUUGCAAGUCCGUUGUGAAAACUCGAGGCUCAACCUCGAGACGCCGGUGGAAACUGCAAAGCUAGAGUCCGGAAGAGGAGAGUGGAAUUCCUGGUGUAGCGGUGAAAUGCGCAGAUAUCAGGAAGAACACCCGUGGCGAAGGCGGCUCACUGGCCCGGUACUGACGCUGAGGCGCGAAAGCGUGGGGAGCAAACAGG
Molecule: ribosomal RNA, 253 nt
Filed under: uncultured bacterium
Lineage: Bacteria
Description: partial 16S ribosomal RNA
Rfam family: Bacterial small subunit ribosomal RNA
Source: RNAcentral